Molecule: long non-coding RNA, 415 nt
Organism: Bombyx mori (domestic silkworm)
Lineage: Eukaryota; Metazoa; Arthropoda; Insecta; Lepidoptera; Bombycidae
Exons: 2
Source: RefSeq, a predicted model, not a curated record
CAAAUUUCGACACAUGAGUACCGUGAUCAGGAAGACAGCAACGAAAAGUCAGAAAAAGUAACAAUGAAAGUAAUUAGCACGAAAAUGGGUACAUACCCAACAAUAGCCGAAUUAUAUGACUGUAACACGAUGUUCGGAUUCUCGAACCAACAUAGACAUAUUUGAUGAAUAUAAUAAAUAAACAAUUGGCAGUUAUAGGGACUCCCAAUAGAAAUGAAAACUUAGAAAUUUAGAAUUGAAAUUUGAAAUGUUUUAAAUUAAAAUUAUCAACAUCAAUGUGGUUUUCACAUCUAUUGAAACUCCGAGCAACAAAAUUAUAUACAUGUUUAUAUGCUUUAUUUAGUAUUCAAAUAUAUUACGGGCUGUAUAAAUUCAUGAUCAAAUAUAAAUACAAUUUAAUUGAAAUAACAAACAA